This is a long non-coding RNA of Strigops habroptila (Kakapo), 243 nucleotides long. RefSeq lists it as uncharacterized. The record is from RefSeq and is a predicted model, not a curated record. The transcript is spliced from 2 exons. Lineage: Eukaryota; Metazoa; Chordata; Aves; Psittaciformes; Psittacidae.
GGUGGGACCUGCGGGGACGGCGCGAAGCGGAGCGGCGAGCGGCUGCAGCUCCCCUGGUGCUGCCCGCGGGGUUGGCGCCGGGAAACAGCCGGCGGGGCGGCGCGGGGGCUCUUCCCGCCUUGGCUGCGGCGGCGGCCCUGCGCUGAGGGGCCGCGCUCCCCCUCGGCUGAGGCGGGCCCGGCUCAAGGCUCGGGUCUCGCUCUGCUUCAGCGAACCCUUGAGGAGGGAACCCGCGGGUGCGCA